This 484-nucleotide ribosomal RNA is filed under the name uncultured bacterium. RNAcentral describes it as "partial 16S ribosomal RNA". It matches the Rfam family "Bacterial small subunit ribosomal RNA", at positions 30 to 507 of the family's 1533-position model. The record is from RNAcentral.
AUUGAACGCUGGCGGCAGGCCUAACACAUGCAAGUCGAGCGGAUGAAGGGAGCUUGCUCCUGGAUUCAGCGGCGGACGGGUGAGUAAUGCCUAGGAAUCUGCCUGGUAGUGGGGGAUAACGUCCGGAAACGGGCGCUAAUACCGCAUACGUCCUGAGGGAGAAAGUGGGGGAUCUUCGGACCUCACGCUAUCAGAUGAGCCUAGGUCGGAUUAGCUAGUUGGUGGGGUAAAGGCCUACCAAGGCGUCGAUCCGUAACUGGUCUGAGAGGAUGAUCAGUCACACUGGAACUGAGACACGGUCCAGACUCCUACGGGAGGCAGCAGCGGGGAAUAUUGGACAAUGGGCGAAAGCCUGAUCCAGCCAUGCCGCGUGUGUGAAGAAGGUCUUCGGAUUGUAAAGCACUUUAAGUUGGGAGGAAGGGCAGUAAGUUAAUACCUUGCUGUUUUGACGUUACCAACAGAAUAAGCACCGGCUAACUUCGUG